Vigna umbellata (rice bean) is the source of this 2182-nucleotide non-coding RNA. The record is from RefSeq and is a predicted model, not a curated record. Lineage: Eukaryota; Viridiplantae; Streptophyta; Magnoliopsida; Fabales; Fabaceae.
CUGCUAGCAGGAAUUGAAAUGAAACGACCUCGUUACAUCAAGUCGUAAAUGUUAAGCCCGAACCUAAACCCAGUACGCUAAACCCCGACGCCCAAAAAUCUGCGAGCAGGCGCCACCACCGCCACCGGAAUCUAUUACUUAGUCGCCGAUAAUAAUCAUCGCUUUCCGAUACCUAUUAAGCAGAUUUGCGGGCUCACACACUUCUUCCAUCUCUAUUGCGCAGCGAUAUCACUAAUCCACACGCCUUUGACGCGAAUGAGAAGGUUCAUGCGUUUAACGCCUUAUCGGCGCCAUUUGCUUUCGUCUGUGACCUCGGAAUCGCUCGUGGACAAAGGAGAAUCGUCAUUCAGCAAAUUCUUGUCGGCUGGCCAAUCGUUUUUUCUGGCUCGGGCUUUGGUCAGUUGCGGUUUCGUCAGGAAAACAGAGGAGUCUGUGAUUCCGAGAAUACCGUUUAGAUAUCGUUAUUUCCAUGCCACAGCAUUGUCUUCUUCAGCUGACAGAGACUACUAUCGAGUUCUUGGUAUUCCUGAAAAUGCCAGUCAAGAUGAGAUAAAGAAGGCCUUUCACUUGCUCGCUAAAAAGUACCAUCCAGAUGCAAACAAGAACAAUCCAUCUGCUAAAAGGAAAUUUCAAGAUAUAAGAGAAGCUUAUGAGAUAUUGAGAGACUCUAAAAAGAGAGCACAGUACAACGAGAUGCGUUCUCGUGGUUCAGAAGAUACAGGAUAUAAUCAUGGUGAUGCAGAAAGGUUUAGAAAUGCCUAUCGUUCUCAUUUUUCAGAUUCAUUUCAUAAAGUAUUCUCUGAGAUAUUUGAAGAAGCAACUACUCAAUUCUCAUCAAACAUAGAGGUGGAGUUGUCUCUUACUUUCUCAGAAGCUGCAAGAGGAUGCACCAAACACGUGUCAUUUGAUGCAUUCGUUCCGUGUGAUUAUUGUAAUGGGCAGGGCCAUCCUCUUGAUGCCGUUCCAAUAGUUUGUCCAACAUGUAGGGGCUUAGGUCGAGUUACAAUCCCCCCAUUUACAUCAACAUGCAUAACCUGUAAAGGAUCAGGCCGAAUUGCAAAGGGCUUUUGUAUAACAUGUAGAGGAUCUGGGGUGGUUGAAGGGGUUAAAGAGGUUAAAGUUACUAUACCAGCAGGUGUGGAUUCGGGAGAUACAAUCCAUGUGCCAGAAGGUGGGAAUGCUGCUGGAAGUGUAGGCCGAUCUGGAAGUUUAUACAUUAAAAUAAAGGUGGCAGAGGAUUCAAUAUUUACCAGAGAUGGUGCAGAUGUCUACGUGGAGUCUAAUAUUAGCUUUACACAGGCUAUUCUUGGUGGUGAAGUUGAGGUGCCUACUUUAUCCGGGAAGAUGCAAUUAAAAAUACCCAAGGGUGUUCAACAUGGACAGCUUCUGGUACUUAGAGGCAAAGGACUUCCAAAGCAUGGGUUUCUUGUACAUCAUGGGGAUCAAUAUGUACGGUUUCGUGUUAACCUUCCCAUUGCAAUCAAUGAACGACAACGUGCUAUACUUGAAGAACUUGCGAAGGAAGAAAUAAAUGAGGGAAACAGCUCUUCAUUUGGGGGAAAUUGGUGGCAGCAAAUUCUUGAACACACGACGGCCCCAAAGUUCAUGCUGGAACUAUCUGUGCUGAUAUUAUUCCUUGUCUUCGUUAACAAAGUGUUGACCUGAUAGCUGGGUCAAAGAUCAAAUAGGAUUGAGCAGCAGACUAGCCAAAGACCAAGUUUUUGUGAUUGCUACGUUCUUCAUUCUUAAGAACCAAGUUAACUAUAAGUUUUGGGUUGAGUGGACGAAGUUGCAACUUACAUCUGUGGAACUUAGGACUACGGAAAACGACGCUAUCGCUGAUUGAUGUUCUUUCGGGGCCCAUUUAUUUUAAAUGUUUUCAAUUUUUCAAUGGAUAAGAUUGACAACAUUGAAAAUUUAUUUCAUGAGACUUGUACAGUUUUAUUGAUUAAUGCGAAGGUCGCCGUGGGUUACAGCUAUCGAAGAUGGGAACUUCCAAUAUAUAUUUGUUUCCCUUGGCUUUAUAGAUAUAUUUACAGUACCUUUCAUGUUGUAAUUCAAUCCGCUCCUGGGUUUAGGGGCUGGUUUUCUUUUAUACUUCAAAUUGUAUACCUUGUACUUUCUGGAAUUCAACGAAUGAUGUAUCAAUGAGUGCUAGCUUCUAAGCACAGAAUUUUAUUAA